GCAUGUGUGCAGGCUGCUGCACUUUAAAUUAAUUAGCCCACUUCAAGCCCAUGAAUGAAGCACCGUUCCAGCACUUGCAGCUUUCGUGUGCACGGCCCUUUGCUGCCAGUAAAAUAAUAUCCAGCCCAUGUCGUGUUGUUUUCUUUCAGCCCUAAUGAGUAUUGCUGCUACUCAAUUUGAAGGCAAAUUAAACUUCUUUGUGCUGCUGGACGUAAUUGUUGAAGCCC
RNAcentral lists this long non-coding RNA (227 nucleotides) under Vigna radiata. RNAcentral describes it as "long non-coding RNA (VRAD_LNC006530)". Lineage: Eukaryota; Viridiplantae; Streptophyta; Magnoliopsida; Fabales; Fabaceae. The record is from RNAcentral.